UAGCCGUAAACGAUACUCGCUAGGUGUCGGCCACGGUGCGACCGUUGUCGGUGCCGUAGGGAAGCCGUGAAGCGAGCCACCUGGGAAGUACGGCCGCAAGGCUGAAACUUAAAGGAAUUGGCGGGGGAGCACAACAACGGGUGGAGCUUGCGGUUUAAUUGGAUUCAACGCCGGAAAUCUUACCGGGAGCGACGGUUACAUGAAGGCCAGGCUGAUGACCUUGCCUGAUUUUCCGAGAGGAGGUGCAUGGCGUAGUCGUGU
Molecule: ribosomal RNA, 261 nt
Filed under: uncultured archaeon
Lineage: Archaea
Description: partial 16S ribosomal RNA
Rfam family: Archaeal small subunit ribosomal RNA
Source: RNAcentral